CAGGUUUACCUGUGUGACUGCGUACCUUUUGUAUAAUGGGUCAGCGACUUAUAUUCUGUAGCAAGGUUAACCGUAUAGGGGAGCCGUAGGGAAACCGAGUCUUAACCGGGCGUUAAGUUGCAGGGUAUAGACCCGAAACCCGGUGAUCUAGCCAUGGGCAGGUUGAAGGUUGGGUAACACUAACUGGAGGACCGAACCGACUAAUGUUGAAAAAUUAGCGGAUGACCUGUGGCUGGGGGUGAAAGGCCAAUCAAACCGGGAGAUAGCUGGUUCUCCCCGAAAGCUAUUUAGGUAGCGCCUCGUGAAUUCAUCUCCGGGGGUAGAGCACUGUUUCGGCUAGGGGGCCAUCCCGGCUUACCAACCCGAUGCAAACUGCGAAUACCGGAGAAUGUUAUCACGGGAGACACACGGCGGGUGCUAACGUCCGUCGUGAAGAGGGAAACAACCCAGACCGCCAGCUAAGGUCCCAAAGUCAUGGUUAAGUGGGAAACGAUGUGGGAAGGCCCAGACAGCCAGGAUGUUGGCUUAGAAGCAGCCAUCAUUUAAAGAAAGCGUAAUAGCUCACUGGUCGAGUCGGCCUGCGCGGAAGAUGUAACGGGGCUAAACCAUGCACCGAAGCUGCGGCAGCGACGCUGAUGCGUUGUUGGGUAGGGGAGCGUUCUGUAAGCCUGUGAAGGUGU
RNAcentral lists this ribosomal RNA (680 nucleotides) under Salmonella enterica subsp. enterica. Its description in RNAcentral is "partial 23S ribosomal RNA". It matches the Rfam family "Bacterial large subunit ribosomal RNA", at positions 580 to 1259 of the family's 2925-position model. The record is from RNAcentral. Lineage: Bacteria; Pseudomonadati; Pseudomonadota; Gammaproteobacteria; Enterobacterales; Enterobacteriaceae.